RNAcentral lists this transfer RNA (76 nucleotides) under Paenibacillus solanacearum. Its description in RNAcentral is "tRNA-His". It matches the Rfam family "tRNA". Rfam says of the family: Transfer RNA (tRNA) molecules are approximately 80 nucleotides in length. Their secondary structure includes four short double-helical elements and three loops (D, anti-codon, and T loops). The record is from RNAcentral. RNAcentral also lists the same sequence under 4 other names. Lineage: Bacteria; Bacillati; Bacillota; Bacilli; Caryophanales; Paenibacillaceae.
GCGAUCGUGGCGAAGUGGUUAACGCAUCGGUUUGUGGAUCCGACACUCGAGGGUUCAAUUCCCUUCGAUCGCCCCA